AACGAACGCUGGCGGCAGGCUUAACACAUGCAAGUCGAACGCCCCGCAAGGGGAGUGGCAGACGGGUGAGUAACGCGUGGGAAUCUACCUAGUUCUACGGAACAACAGUUGGAAACGACUGCUAAUACCGUAUACGCCCUACGGGGGAAAGAUUUAUCGGAAUUAGAUGAGCCCGCGUGAGAUUAGCUAGUUGGUGGGGUAAUGGCCUACCAAGGCGACGAUCUCUAGCUGGUCUGAGAGGAUGAUCAGCCACACUGGGACUGAGACACGGCCCAGACUCCUACGGGAGGCAGCAGUGGGGAAUAUUGGACAAUGGGCGAAAGCCUGAUCCAGCCAUGCCGCGUGAGUGAUGAAGGCCUUAGGGUUGUAAAGCUCUUUCAGUGGGGAAGAUAAUGACGGUACCCACAG
This 408-nucleotide ribosomal RNA is filed under the name uncultured bacterium. RNAcentral describes it as "bacterial SSU rRNA". It matches the Rfam family "Bacterial small subunit ribosomal RNA", at positions 29 to 484 of the family's 1533-position model. The record is from RNAcentral.